AAUUCGAUUAGAGUUUGAUCCUGGCUCAGAUUGAACGCUGGCGGCAUGCCUUACACAUGCAAGUCGAACGGCAGCACGGGAGCUUGCUCCUGGUGGCGAGUGGCGAACGGGUGAGUAAUACAUCGGAACGUACCCAGGAGUGGGGGAUAACGUAGCGAAAGUUACGCUAAUACCGCAUAUUCUGUGAGCAGGAAAGCGGGGGAUCGCAAGACCUCGCGCUCUUGGAGCGGCCGAUGUCGGAUUAGCUAGUUGGUGAGGUAAAAGCUCACCAAGGCGACGAUCCGUAGCAGGUCUGAGAGGAUGAUCUGCCACACUGGGACUGAGACACGGCCCAGACUCCUACGGGAGGCAGCAGUGGGGAAUUUUGGACAAUGGGGGCAACCCUGAUCCAGCCAUGCCGCGUGAGUGAAGAAGGCCUUCGGGUUGUAAAGCUCUUUCGGCGGGGAAGAAAUGGCAACGGCUAAUAUCCGUUGUUGAUGACGGUACCCGCAUAAGAAGCACCGGCUAACUACGUGCCAGCAGCCGCGGUAAUACGUAGGGUGCGAGCGUUAAUCGGAAUUACUGGGCGUAAAGCGUGCGCAGGCGGUUUCGUAAGACAGACGUGAAAUCCCCGGGCUCAACCUGGGAACUGCGUUUGUGACUGCGAGGCUAGAGUACGGCAGAGGGGGGUAGAAUUCCACGUGUAGCAGUGAAAUGCGUAGAGAUGUGGAGGAAUACCGAUGGCGAAGGCAG
Molecule: ribosomal RNA, 732 nt
Filed under: uncultured bacterium
Lineage: Bacteria
Description: bacterial SSU rRNA
Rfam family: Bacterial small subunit ribosomal RNA
Source: RNAcentral